This 73-nucleotide transfer RNA is filed under the name Camelus ferus (Wild Bactrian camel). It matches the Rfam family "tRNA". From Rfam's summary of the family: Transfer RNA (tRNA) molecules are approximately 80 nucleotides in length. Their secondary structure includes four short double-helical elements and three loops (D, anti-codon, and T loops). The record is from Rfam by way of RNAcentral. Lineage: Eukaryota; Metazoa; Chordata; Mammalia; Artiodactyla; Camelidae.
GAGGGUGUAGCUCAGUGGUUAGUGGACAUGCUUAGCAUGCUAGAGAUCCUGGGUUCAAUCCCCAGUACCUCCA